UGGAGGUGGGGAUUAUGAUUGGGAAAAUGGAGAGAAGUCUGGAAGUGGGAAGAAUAAUGAUGGAGAGGAAGAUUAUAAAGAUAUUUUAGUGGGUGAUUUCAACGGCAAAAAUGCGGCUGUAACCUGUUCUCAAGAAUGUUACCAGACACUGGUAUCAGUAGGCCUGCUACUUUUGUUGAUCAUUGGUGAUUAAUAUUUUCUGUUCAAGAAACGACCAAUUCACUAUAUAUUACGUCAUGGAUGAUGUCACGGGAUACCAUGGUGAUUAGUCGUCACAUCGAAUACUGAUUUUACUAUUCCAAUAUUUUUCCAAGUCAUUCUUCGAAUAGUCUAUAAAUUUGUAGAUGUUUUCUUUUAUUUAUAUACAGACCUGUAAAUCAAAUUAAAAACACUUAUAUGGAUAUACUACUUCUGAAUUUAUGAACAUGCUACGUUUCGAUACACAUACAGAUAUCGUUAUCAAGCAAAUAAUGAUAUUUAGCAAAAAAUG
Long non-coding RNA from Patella vulgata (common limpet), 490 nucleotides. RefSeq lists it as uncharacterized. Lineage: Eukaryota; Metazoa; Mollusca; Gastropoda; Patellidae. The transcript has 3 exons. The record is from RefSeq and is a predicted model, not a curated record.